GCGCCGCAUCUGUCACAGUUGGUAAACCCUAAUUCUCGACAGGGCAUCGCUUCUUUUCCAAUGUUGGACAAAAGUAGCGUUAGGAUCCAAGGGGAGCUAGAGAAUUUGUGUUAAAUGUUGAUAACAUGUUGAUCGUUCAUAGGAUUAAGUAAGUUACACCAUUGUUCGAGAAAACAUUGAGUGCAACUGAAACUGGGAAGAGUGGGCUGCCAAAAAAAUGUGCAGAGAAGUUUAACUGUGGUACAAAACCCACCAGUGACAUUUGAGGUCCAGCUGCUCUGAUGGUGAGGGGGAAAAGAAACUGCAGAAUUAACUUCUGGGCCUUUUCUUGUUCACGAUAUCGCCAAAUGAUAUCACGGAUGGGAAAGAUUGGCGUUUCAAUCUAAGAACCUGGCCGAAUAAUAUCAGCAGGAUGUACUUCCUGAAAAGUUUCGAGCCGUAUGUUCGAUCAAUGAAGGUGCCACCCGAUAAUACCAACUGCGGAAGAUUUGCUACAACUGAAGUUGCAUGUUGAAUUGAAGCUUAGUUAAAGUUUAAACAAGACUAUUUACAAACGUUUUUGAAGACACGUUUUAAUGGCAAUUCAGAAUCGAUCAGAGAGUUGGUUGUGAUGAUUGGUUCAAGAUUUUCGAGAAAGAUACACCC
Molecule: long non-coding RNA, 645 nt
Organism: Helianthus annuus (common sunflower)
Lineage: Eukaryota; Viridiplantae; Streptophyta; Magnoliopsida; Asterales; Asteraceae
Exons: 3
Source: RefSeq, a predicted model, not a curated record